RNAcentral lists this ribosomal RNA (113 nucleotides) under Pteropus alecto (black flying fox). Lineage: Eukaryota; Metazoa; Chordata; Mammalia; Chiroptera; Pteropodidae. The record is from RNAcentral.
GUCUAUGGCCAUGCCACCCUGAACAAGGCCAUCUGAUCUCAGAAGCUAAGCAAUGGUGGGCCUGGUUAGUACUUGGAUGGCAGACCACCUAGGAAGACCAGGUGCUAUAGACG